This 77-nucleotide transfer RNA is filed under the name Alphaproteobacteria bacterium. RNAcentral's name for it is "tRNA-His". It matches the Rfam family "tRNA". From Rfam's summary of the family: Transfer RNA (tRNA) molecules are approximately 80 nucleotides in length. The record is from RNAcentral. Lineage: Bacteria; Pseudomonadati; Pseudomonadota; Alphaproteobacteria.
GCGGAAGUAGCUCAGUUGGUUAGAGCGUCGGUUUGUGGUACCGAAUGUCGAGAGUUCGAGUCCCUUCUUCCGCCCCA